AGCGAACGCUGGCGGCAGGCUUAACACAUGCAAGUCGAGCGGGCAUCCUUGUGGUGUCAGCGGCAGACGGGUGAGUAACGCGUGGGAACGUGCCCUUCGGCUCGGAAUAACCCAGGGAAACUUGAGCUAAUACCGGAUAUGUGCGAGAGCAGAAAGGCUUAUCUGCCGAUGGAUCGGCCCGCGUCUGAUUAGCUAGUUGGUGAGGUUACGGCUCACCAAGGCGACGAUCAGUAGCUGGUCUGCGAGGAUGAGCCGCGACACUGGGACUGAGACACGGCCCAGACUCGUACGGGAGGCAGCAGUGGGGAAUAUUAGACAAUGGGGGCAACCCCAGUCCAGCCGUGCCGCGUAAGUGAUGACGGCCUUAGGGUUGUACAGCUCUUUUCUCCGGGACGUUAGUGACGGUACCGGAUAAAUAAGCCCCGGCUAACUUCGUG
This 437-nucleotide ribosomal RNA is filed under the name uncultured bacterium. RNAcentral's name for it is "partial 16S ribosomal RNA". It matches the Rfam family "Bacterial small subunit ribosomal RNA", at positions 29 to 507 of the family's 1533-position model. The record is from RNAcentral.